This 484-nucleotide ribosomal RNA is filed under the name uncultured bacterium. Its description in RNAcentral is "partial 16S ribosomal RNA". It matches the Rfam family "Bacterial small subunit ribosomal RNA", at positions 30 to 507 of the family's 1533-position model. The record is from RNAcentral.
AUUGAACGCUGGCGGCAGGCCUAACACAUGCAAGUCGAGCGGAUGAAGGGAGCUUGCUCCUGGAUUCAGCGGCGGACGGGUGUGUAAUGCCUAGGAAUCUGCCUGGUAGUGGGGGAUAACGUCCGGAAACGGGCGCUAAUACCGCAUACGUCCUGAGGGAGAAAGUGGGGGAUCUUCGGACCUCACGCUAUCAGAUGAGCCUAGGUCGGAUUAGCUAGUUGGUGGGGUAAAGUCCUACCAAGGCGACGAUCCGUAACUGGUCUGAGAGGAUGAUCAGUCACACUGGAACUGAGACACGGUCCAGACUCCUACGGGAGGCAGCAGUGGGGAAUAUUGGACAAUGGGCGAAAGCCUGAUCCAGCAAUGCCGCGUGUGUGAAGAAGGUCUUCGGAUUGUAAAGCACUUUAAGUUGGGAGGAAGGGCAGUAAGUUAAUACCUUGCUGUUUUGACGUUACCAACAGAAUAAGCACCGGCUAACUUCGUG